GGGGGUGAAAGGCUUUCGACCUAAGAAUGAGGUAAAGGGUUGCAUACCGUGGGGGUAAGCCCACCCGAUAGUUGGGUUUACAAAAAAAUAAACGCAAAACCUUUUGUUGGCGUUCCUGAGUUACACCUAGUCGGGUAAUUCGGCCCUUUUGUUUUUUGCCUCAGGGGACAUGAGGGUUCGGCUAUGAGGCUAGAAGUAAACUUUUUGUUUUGAAGGUUUGCUUUGAAACAAAUCAAAGCUGCUUUUUGGCAAAUCCUGUUCUUCGGAGCUGCCAGGAAAAAGAUAAACGAAGAAAUAAGUAUGUAGGAGCUCUUUGCUAACUUUUUAGGGACCGGGGUUCGAGUCCCCGCACCUCCACCA
RNAcentral lists this transfer-messenger RNA (360 nucleotides) under Candidatus Omnitrophota. Its description in RNAcentral is "JAHJHM01 sp018823915 Standard tmRNA". It matches the Rfam family "transfer-messenger RNA". Rfam says of the family: Bacterial tmRNA, also known as 10Sa RNA or SsrA, is named for its dual tRNA and mRNA-like properties. Its role is to liberate the mRNA from a stalled ribosome. To accomplish this part of the tmRNA is used as a reading frame that ends in a translation stop signal. Lineage: Bacteria; Pseudomonadati. The record is from RNAcentral. RNAcentral also lists the same sequence under 1 other name.